This is a long non-coding RNA of Thunnus maccoyii (southern bluefin tuna), 1129 nucleotides long. RefSeq lists it as uncharacterized. The transcript is spliced from 5 exons. Lineage: Eukaryota; Metazoa; Chordata; Actinopteri; Scombriformes; Scombridae. The record is from RefSeq and is a predicted model, not a curated record.
GGUGACUCAAAAACUUGGGGAGGAAAUCCACCUCGUGUGUAUCAGACUGCCCUCUGCUGCAGACCAUCCUGACCUGCCAGAAAGUUUCAACUUUCUGUCACCGUUUUGGCGUAGGGGGGAGGGGUUUGAGGGAGGGGCUAGGAGUGCGUUCACGCGCUUCAAGAAGAGACUUCCAGAACUCACCAUCUAGUCUGCUCAGAAGCCUGACAUGACUGCAGUUUGAGGCAAUAGUCUCUCCAAGUUCAAUUGGAACUUCCAAAUCGAAAGAGUUUGAGGCCAAUAUAGUCCUGCUGCCCAAGGCCUUAUAAACUAGCGCAAAAUAUUCAGCAGCAGCAUCACACCCCAGCACUGAGAAAUUCAGAACUCCGAGCAGCAGCAUCAACAAGCACAAACCCUGAGCAUUUCAUCAGGUCAGGGGAGGUGUUGCUGAAGUGGAGAGAGAUGGCAGACUCAUGACUCCAACAGAUAACGGCACCUUUGAUUGGGAGGCAGUUCAUGGAGAGGAUGAUGAGAAGGCUUCAGGAAGUUCUCUAACAUCAGCCUGUGGAUUUUGAUUAUUUACACUAUGUUUUAAGUCGUGAAAAGGAACUUGUUUGCUCUUUUGCUGAUGUUGUACAACUGCCAAGUGAUGUUGCUUGUGAUCUGAUGUUUUGAGAUUACUUCGUUUACAAGAGGAGGAGAGACCUCCAGCCUCUUCUUAUGUAGUGAAACAGAGGAUGCCACACAUCAGAUACAGGAUGAUGAAGGGUGAAUUGCAAGCCUUGGGACAGUGUGUCAGAUCGGAGCAGGUGUCAGCAUCAAUGCAUCAGGUGGAUUCUGCGGGGAUCUUAGAGAGAAUGGGACGUUUGGGCUUUGUGGCAAGACAAAUUUAUUCCAUCAAGGGUCCUCAGAAUGGGUUGAGCACUUGUGGCGUGACGUGUGGAUGGCUGUAACAAGUGUGUAUUAUGAGCUUCUUCAUGGCCUUGAAGAGGACUGCCUGCUUGAUCCCUCCAACAGUCUGCACUUAUUCUGUGCUCAGUACAUAUUUGUACCACGCCUCCAGAUGGACCGUGACACUUUCACUAGUGGGUAGAAUAACCAUCUCCUGUGAACUGAACAAAACCUGACUCCCAAUCAACUGACCGUAGGA